Molecule: RNA transcript, 692 nt
Organism: Octodon degus (degu)
Lineage: Eukaryota; Metazoa; Chordata; Mammalia; Rodentia; Octodontidae
Gene name: succinate dehydrogenase cytochrome b560 subunit, mitochondrial pseudogene
Exons: 1
Source: RefSeq, a predicted model, not a curated record
AUGGCGGCACUCUUGUUGAGACAUGCUGACCAUCAUUGCCUCCAUUCCCACCUGAGUCCUCGGCUCUAUAUCAGAAAUGCUGUUCCUUUGGGAACCGCAGCCAAAGAAGAGAUGGAGCGGUUCUGGAAUAAGAACACAGGUUCAAAUCAUCCUGAAUCUCCUACAUCACUAUCUACAGUUGGUCUCUUCCCAUGGUGAUGUCCAUUUGCCAUUGCGGCGCUGGUAUGGGCUUGAGUGGAGGGGUCUCUCUGUUUGGUGUGUCAGCUCUUUGCUCCCUGGGAACUUUGAGUCUUACUUAGAAUUUGUGAAGUCUUUGUGUCUGGGGCCAGCAGUGAUUUACACAGCUAAGUUUGCGCUCGUCUUGCCACUCACGUAUCACACCUGGAAUGGGAUCCGUCACUUGAUAUGGAACCUGGGAAAAGGCCUGAAGACUGCCCAUCUCUACCAGUCUGGGGUGGCCAUCUUGGUUCUGACUGUGUUGUCCUCUGUAGGUCUGGCAGCCAUGUGAAGAGCUGACGCUCCCAGAAUCAUCUUCCUACAAAUUAGUUGUCACAAACUGCUUUACCUUCCUGGUCCUCAUUCUUACCCUGGCCAACAGAGUUACCUGAUCUCUUUGGAUCCUUCUGUGUUUGCAGAUGAUCCCCCUUAGCUCAGUAGACUGGCUUGUAAAACCACAAUAAUAGAAAGGGUCC